Molecule: small nucleolar RNA, 72 nt
Organism: Physella acuta
Lineage: Eukaryota; Metazoa; Mollusca; Gastropoda; Physidae
Source: RefSeq, a predicted model, not a curated record
UUGUGAUGAUGAUUAUUCUACAUUGCUAAUUAUCUUUGAAGCUUUGUAUUGAGCUUUUUAACCCUGAACAAG